RNAcentral lists this ribosomal RNA (635 nucleotides) under Pantoea stewartii. RNAcentral's name for it is "bacterial SSU rRNA". It matches the Rfam family "Bacterial small subunit ribosomal RNA", at positions 68 to 692 of the family's 1533-position model. Lineage: Bacteria; Pseudomonadati; Pseudomonadota; Gammaproteobacteria; Enterobacterales; Erwiniaceae. The record is from RNAcentral.
GGUAGCACAGAGGAGCUUGCUCCUCGGGUGACGAGUGGCGGACGGGUGAGUAAUGUCUGGGAAACUGCCCGAUGGAGGGGGAUAACUACUGGAAACGGUAGCUAAUACCGCAUAACGUCGCAAGACCAAAGUGGGGGACCUUCGGGCCUCACACCAUCGGAUGUGCCCAGAUGGGAUUAGCUUGUAGGCGGGGUAACGGCCCACCUAGGCGACGAUCCCUAGCUGGUCUGAGAGGAUGACCAGCCACACUGGAACUGAGACACGGUCCAGACUCCUACGGGAGGCAGCAGUGGGGAAUAUUGCACAAUGGGCGCAAGCCUGAUGCAGCCAUGCCGCGUGUAUGAAGAAGGCCUUCGGGUUGUAAAGUACUUUCAGCGGGGAGGAAGGUGUUGAGGUUAAUAACCUCAGCAAUUGACGUUACCCGCAGAAGAAGCACCGGCUAACUCCGUGCCAGCAGCCGCGGUAAUACGGAGGGUGCAAGCGUUAAUCGGAAUUACUGGGCGUARAGCGCACGCAGGCGGUCUGUUAAGUCAGAUGUGAAAUCCCCGGGCUUAACCUGGGAACUGCAUUUGAAACUGGCAGGCUUGAGUCUCGUAGAGGGGGGUAGAAUUCCAGGUGUAGCGGUGAAAUGCGUA